ACUCCUACGGGAGGCAGCAGUGGGAAUAUUGGACAAUGGGGGCAACCCUGAUCCAGCCAUGCCGCGUGAGUGAAGAAGGCCCUAGGGUCGUAAAGCUCUUUCAACUGUGAAGAUAAUGACGGUAGCAGUAGAAGAAAACCCCGCUAAGCUACCCGUGCCAGCAGCCGCGGUAAUACGGAGGGGUUAGCGUUGUUCGGAAUUACUGGGCGUAAAGCGCACGUAGGCGGACUAUUAAGUUAGAGGUGAAAUCCCAGGGCUCAACCCUGAACUGCCUUUAAUACUGGUAGUCUUGAUUCGAGAGAGGUGAGUGGAAUUCCGAGUGUAGAGGUGAAAUUCGUAGAUAUUCGAGGAACACCAGUGGCGAAGGCGGCUCACUGGCUCGAUACUGACGCUGAGGUGCGAAAGUGUGGGGAGCAAACAGGAUUAGAUACCCUGGUAGCUACGAG
RNAcentral lists this ribosomal RNA (446 nucleotides) under uncultured bacterium. Its description in RNAcentral is "bacterial SSU rRNA". It matches the Rfam family "Bacterial small subunit ribosomal RNA", at positions 335 to 801 of the family's 1533-position model. The record is from RNAcentral.